UGAUAAUGCCAGCACUAAAGCACCGGAUCCCAACAGAACUCCGAAGUUAAGCGUGCUUUAGAGAGAGUAGUACUGUUAGGACUCUAGCUUGGAGAGUCCUAAUUG
Molecule: ribosomal RNA, 105 nt
Filed under: Musa acuminata subsp. malaccensis (wild Malaysian banana)
Lineage: Eukaryota; Viridiplantae; Streptophyta; Magnoliopsida; Zingiberales; Musaceae
Source: RNAcentral